This 3388-nucleotide unclassified non-coding RNA is filed under the name Yarrowia lipolytica. Lineage: Eukaryota; Fungi; Ascomycota; Dipodascomycetes; Dipodascales. The record is from RNAcentral.
GCAUGCCACCGCCGUACCUGAUCUGUCUCCGACUAACCCUGUAUCUAUGAUAGCCACUACAUACGACCCGAUCUGACUGUCUGAGACAUGUGAGACAUGGAUAAGAGGAUGGAGCGGAGAGGAAGCAGGGGAGAAAGGGGAAGGGAAUGAGCCGGGCGACUGUGAUUGGACGAGAGCCGGAAAACAAGCCAUACGACAUCCGAUGGCCUCCACAAGGACCAUACCAUGGUGAGUGUUUGUGCACCUUAACCAUGGUACGUCCUCCACGUUGAGCUGAGACAUUUCUUCCGAGACAUUGCAGUUGCUCCAAGAAUACGGUACGAGUAAGGACCGUGUAUUAGCGGGGGACGUGUGGAUUUUUUUCUUUUCUUUCUCUUUCCCCUUUCCUCCCUCUCUUCUUAUUCUUCCCCUUCUCCUUCGUUUUCUUCUUUCUUUCGUCUUCGUCUUCGUCUUCGUCUUCGACUUCGUCUUCGUUCUCCGCUUCUCCUCUUCUCCACGUGACUUGCUUUUAUGUCUGGUCUUGUCUGUGGGUCUGUAUCAGAGGUCUCUUCAGCGAUGUCUCUGUCUUUUUGCACCUCUUGGCAGCAACGUUACUUUCGACGAUCGGACCGAAAAGCAGUUCAAGCUCCACUCAGCUAUAACUCUGUGUUAUGAUUCGCAAGAUUACGGCUUCUAGAAGAAAGACACCGAAGAGGUGUCUGAUCCCGGCCGGAGAGGAGGUGCAGAUGGUGAGGGGGUUGGCGACAGAGAUGGGAUCCCGUUAUCAACAAUUUGGCACGAGACAGGAGCUAUUGGUGGUAUGAAUCAGCACGUUAUGCUACUAUUCGUUAAAGUAGCCCCCUAACAGCAGCCAAUGACAGAGUUACAGUACAAGAGAUGAACCAGAAAAGGUUUAGCUGUGAACAAGGUGAGUGGUGGUGGAGGAGUUGGUUUGGCGGUGGUUUGGCGGUGGUUUGGUUUUGGGGUUUGAUGGAUUGGUUGCUUGGUGGAUUCUUUUGGUGGAUGACUGCUUGGUGGAUUGGUUUGGUGGUUGGUGGUUUGGUGGUUGGUGGUUUGGUGGUUGGUGGUUUGGUGGUUGGUGGUUUGGUGGUUGGUGGUUUGGCGGUUUGGUUUUGAUGGUUUCGUACUUUCAGCCAAACACUUGAGCACCAUUUGACGCUGCGCCUUGGCCUUCUACGAUGAUCUGGAGACUAAUCCAGUUAUUCAGUUCGUGCUGCAAAAAGAAAGCAUGGAACAUCUGUCAAUCUUGGUAGAUCAUCGGAGAAUUAGGUGGAAGGAGAUGCCAAGACAGAGAAUGAGAGAGUGAGUACGUACGAGAAGAAGCAAAUCUGGGACUGAGAAACGUUAGCCGGGGACCGAGGAUGUGCCAGAGCAUUGGGGAACGAGUGUUGGGGACCAAGAUGAUGCAGUCUUCCCUUCGUCAUGCCCACUAAGCUCGCUGCGCUCAUCUGUGCCUUGGUUGAGUUUGGUGGUCUCCAGACUUCGACACUGUUUUGAACGACAGACAAAGAAUCUGUGCCGUAGAUCCAGUCAUGUGUUGUUUUUAAACACAGCAGGUAGUGGCGAGCCUAGAAGGUGAUUCUGGAGGAGAUACAAGGGAUAGAGCAACUUCGCAAGUCGAAGAUUUAUGGAAAAAGGAAUUCUUCGAAUUGUGAGAGAGUCUGGUUGACUCGGACGUGGCUCAGCCUGACAUGCGUUAUCCAUGUGCUCAGCUGUCAGAACUGCCCGCCAGGAGUCCGUGUUGUUGGUCGAUAUGGUGAGACGGCGAGAUGCUGAAACAUGGGCUCACCGUCUCAGGGUGCUUUUGCGGGAUUAUCGGUGACAGAAGCAAUUCCAUGUACAGACAUGCGGAGUGAGCUGGUCUUGGUGGUCAGAGUUGGGGUUUUGCUACAGCAGCUUGCUCCGAGUCUCCAGCAACCCAUUAUUGGGCAUGGGGUCUAUGAGCUCUGAAGCAUUGUUUCGGGUGACUUCUACCACAUGACUCACCCAUCCUAUCUGUCUUGAGUCCAGAUCUCACUGGUUCAGCCAAUGCCCGGACUGGGCCAUGGCACGGAAGUUCAUACUGUGAGUUCAAUCCUUGCACUUGGAAAACGCUCCACUACACCAUAACAUUGUGUGCUUAUAGUCUCUGGUCUUAGCAUUUCCUCCACCUCCGUGAUUCCUACAAGUUCAAUACUGUGAUGAAGUUGCCGGGAUACCCUACACCAGCCAGUACAGCUUUACUCAACAGUUGGAACCCAGUCGAUUUAAAGGUGAUAAAAUGUCAUGUCUCACAGAUAGAACUGUGCUGCUGUCGAGAGAUAUGGCCACCACACCUAGGAGGUUGGAUCAUCGGAUACCCAGCUCGUUUCUGGCCAACACUUGCUUAUUAUGGUGUUGAUGGAGCUGCCAGUACAAGUCGGCGUUGGUGGUGUUUCAAACUGUGGGUGCAGAGAAGCGCAAACGCGGUUCUUCAUUGAGUUGAUCUAGAUGGAUAUGUUCCCCGUGGCAGAAUCAGACUUGUGGCUUUCCUCAAAAGUUUUGGUGGAAUCAAACCAAACUCCGAACGGACAUUAUCGAAGAGAGUGAGAAUUUCAUUGUCAGUCUCACUAAGACAAGCUCCAGUAACCUCUUGUGGGCAAAAAGAACUCGACACGGUGGGCUACAAAAGAGCCUGACCUCGGAUUGCAAGUAAAAGGCACAUUGAGGGCUGCUCAAGGAACAGUCAACUAACCAUGAGUUUCGUGUUUCGUCAUGUUAAGUAGCGUACUGUAGCAAGGAGAUGUCAAUCGAUCGGAGAGAGAGUUCAAGUACAAGGCGAUAGUAUCGUACACUUGUAACUAGUCAUUGGAAGAGCUCUUUAUACAAUAUGGAGGCGGAGGGAGGCCACACCAUUUGUGAAUACAUGUUUGAGCACAGCUGAAUUGUGGAUUCAUCUGGCGGGGAACGGCUGUUUGUAGUCUGGUGUCCAGUGGGGCGACCAGUGACUGAUAAGGGAUCCAGCUGAUCCUCACUUGCCGGAUGAAUACAGUAUUAACAAGAGGGGUCAUAAGAAUGGCUGCAAACAUCCACAUCUUGAAGAAGGAAGACACGAGUUUGAGAGCUUCCUUGUCCACAUAGAGACGUAGACCGACAAAAAUGACUGCUGUAGCCAUCAGUUUGACAACGAGAGACACAUCUGAAAGGGUCGGGGUUUCUUGUGAAGCUGAGGCGACCCAAAGGUGCUUGUGGAACACGGAACUCAUGGCAAUCUGUCCCAGCAUACACUGCCAAAGAGCGACACUGAGUCGACUUGAUUAUUGUACCUUUUUAACCCGAAUCAGGUCACGUGGGCAAUUCUAGAAGCACGAUUAGGAGGAGCGUUUUGGUGGUUAUAGUGAGCAGUAGAAAUUCAGGUCUACAAACUGGA